RNAcentral lists this ribosomal RNA (450 nucleotides) under uncultured organism. RNAcentral's name for it is "partial 16S ribosomal RNA". It matches the Rfam family "Bacterial small subunit ribosomal RNA", at positions 335 to 801 of the family's 1533-position model. The record is from RNAcentral.
ACUCCUACGGGAGGCAGCAGUGGGGAAUAUUGGACAAUGGGCGCAAGCCUGAUCCAGCCAUGCCGCGUGAGUGAUGAAGGCCCUCGGGUUGUAAAGCUCUUUCACCGGUGAAGAUAAUGACGGUAACCGGAGAAGAAGCCCCGGCUAACUUCGUGCCAGCAGCCGCGGUAAUACGAAGGGGGCUAGCGUUGUUCGGAUUUACUGGGCGUAAAGCGCACGUAGGCGGACUAUUAAGUCAGGGGUGAAAUCCCGGGGCUCAACCCCGGAACUGCCUUUGAUACUGGUAGUCUUGAGUUCGAGAGAGGUGGGUGGAAUUCCGAGUGUAGAGGUGAAAUUCGUAGAUAUUCGGAGGAACACCAGUGGCGAAGGCGGCUCACUGGCUCGAUACUGACGCUGAGGUGCGAAAGCGUGGGGAGCAAACAGGAUUAGAAACCCUUGUAGUCCCAUGAU